Molecule: ribosomal RNA, 253 nt
Filed under: uncultured bacterium
Lineage: Bacteria
Description: partial 16S ribosomal RNA
Rfam family: Bacterial small subunit ribosomal RNA
Source: RNAcentral
UACGUAGGGUGCAAGCGUUGUCCGGAAUUAUUGGGCGUAAAGAGCUCGUAGGCGGUUCGUCGCGUCGGCUGUGAAAACCUGAGGCUCAACCUCAGGCCUGCAGUCGAUACGGGCGGACUUGAGUACUGCAGGGGAGACUGGAAUUCCUGGUGUAGCGGUGAAAUGCGCAGAUAUCAGGAGGAACACCGGUGGCGAAGGCGGGUCUCUGGGCCAAUACUGACGCUGAGGAGCGAAAGCGUGGGGAGCGAACAGG